Mastomys coucha (southern multimammate mouse) is the source of this 587-nucleotide long non-coding RNA. RefSeq lists it as uncharacterized. Lineage: Eukaryota; Metazoa; Chordata; Mammalia; Rodentia; Muridae. The record is from RefSeq and is a predicted model, not a curated record. The transcript has 3 exons.
CCUUGUUGCCUAUGGGUGACGUGAAGUCAUCACUGGAUUUGGAGGCUAGCACACCUUCAUGUUGGCCUUACUGAGCAUUUGGUCCUUUCUCCAUGGGACAAAAAAUUCAAAGGAUGAUGCUGUUAGUGAAGAUCUGGGAACUAGGACCCAAGAGAAGAUGCUAGGCUCCAAGGAAGUGGUUAUUUCCUCUUUUUCUAUACCACCUCCAGUGCAAUGGUCUUAGGACAGGCAGUGCCAUCAGACCUGACCAGGAACUCCUAACAGAAGACACUCUAUGAAGGCGAGGACCUCUCCCACUGGCACUGGGAGAGAAAACAUUCUUGCUAUCAAAGGCAUGUGAGAAGGCCUGGUUGCCAAGUAACCCAGUAUCACAUCCUGUCGGGCUACCAAGUACUCUAUAAUGCAUACCUUUUUAAGCAUCAGGGUUAUUGAAUAGAGAAGUCAUCUGGGAGGACCUGAUUUUGAGACUGUUACUCUAUACUUCUCUAAUGGGAAAUACUUAAUGUGUGUUUACUGGAAGUGAAGCGUUACCAUUCAUUCUGUGGCUCGCUUGGACCAUGCUGAUUAAAACAUGUUUGAGAGAUCCA